RNAcentral lists this ribosomal RNA (220 nucleotides) under uncultured bacterium. RNAcentral describes it as "partial 16S ribosomal RNA". It matches the Rfam family "Bacterial small subunit ribosomal RNA", at positions 524 to 742 of the family's 1533-position model. The record is from RNAcentral.
UACGGAGGGUGCAAGCGUUAUCCGGAUUCACUGGGUUUAAAGGGUGCGUAGGUGGGUUGGUAAGUCAGUGGUGAAAUCCCCGAGCUUAACUUGGGAACUGCCAUUGAUACUAUUAAUCUUGAAUACCGUGGAGGUUAGCGGAAUAUGUCAUGUAGCGGUGAAAUGCUUAGAUAUGACAUAGAACACCAAUUGCGAAGGCAGCUGGCUAACACGAAUAUUG